UCGCUGCUUCUUUAAUACUCCUCUUACUUCUGGUCGGACUCUUAUGAGGAAAAAUAGAAAAUACUUUAAACCUGCUCUCUCUAGAGCAGGUUUUUAAAAAGGAUAGAUAUAUAUGUAUAUGUUACUUAAGUCGAGGUACAAAUGUCUGAAAUAAUUGUCGAUUAUUUAAAUAUAAUUAUACUUCAGUAUUUACAACUGUA
Megalopta genalis is the source of this 200-nucleotide non-coding RNA. The record is from RefSeq and is a predicted model, not a curated record. Lineage: Eukaryota; Metazoa; Arthropoda; Insecta; Hymenoptera; Halictidae.